GCCGAGAUGGUGGAAUUGGUAGACACGAGGGACUUAAAAUCCCUUGCUAAUUAUUGGCGUGCGGGUUCGACCCCCGCUCUCGGCACCA
Molecule: transfer RNA, 88 nt
Filed under: Candidatus Campbelliibacteriota bacterium
Lineage: Bacteria; Candidatus Campbelliibacteriota
Description: Candidatus Campbellbacteria bacterium tRNA-Leu
Rfam family: tRNA
About the family: Transfer RNA (tRNA) molecules are approximately 80 nucleotides in length. Their secondary structure includes four short double-helical elements and three loops (D, anti-codon, and T loops).
Source: RNAcentral